AACGAACGCUGGCGGCAUGCCUAACACAUGCAAGUCGAGCGGAUGAAGGGGGCCUGCUCCCGCAGGAAGCGGCGGACGGGUGUGUAAUGCCUAGAAAUCUGCCUGGUAGUGGGGGAUGACGUCCGGAAACGGGCGCAAAUACUGCAUCCGAACAGUGGGAGAAACUGGAGGUUCUCCGGACCUCACGCAUUCAGUUGAGCCUAGGUGGGAUUAGCUAGUUGGUGGGGUAAAGGCCUACAAAGGCGACGAUCCGAAACUGGUCUGAGAGGACGAUCAGUCACACUGGAAGUGAGACACGGUCCAGACUCCUACGGGAGGCAGCAGUGGGGAAUAUUGGACAAGGGGCGAAAGCCUGAUCCAGCCAUGCCGCGUGUGUGAAGAAGGUCUUCGGACUGUAAAGCACUUUAAGUUGGGAGGAAGGGCAGUAAGUUAAAACCUUGCUAUUUUGACGGUACCAAAAGAAUAAGCACCGGCUAACUUCGUG
This 484-nucleotide ribosomal RNA is filed under the name uncultured bacterium. RNAcentral describes it as "partial 16S ribosomal RNA". It matches the Rfam family "Bacterial small subunit ribosomal RNA", at positions 29 to 507 of the family's 1533-position model. The record is from RNAcentral.